RNAcentral lists this ribosomal RNA (496 nucleotides) under uncultured Proteiniphilum sp. RNAcentral describes it as "bacterial SSU rRNA". It matches the Rfam family "Bacterial small subunit ribosomal RNA", at positions 887 to 1382 of the family's 1533-position model. Lineage: Bacteria; Pseudomonadati; Bacteroidota; Bacteroidia; Bacteroidales; Dysgonomonadaceae. The record is from RNAcentral.
CGCCCGCUCAGAAACUCAAAUGAAGUUGACGGGGGCCCGCACAAGCGGAGGAACAUGUGGUUUAAUUCGAUGAUACGCGAGGAACCUUACCCGGGCUUGAAAUGCAUCUGACCGGCCUUGAAAGAGGUUUCCCUUCGGGGCAGAUGUGUAGGUGCUGCAUGGUUGUCGUCAGCUCGUGCCGUGAGGUGUCGGCUUAAGUGCCAUAACGAGCGCAACCCUCAUCAUUAGUUACCAUCAGGUAAGGCUGGGGACUCUAAUGAGACUGCCAUCGUAAGAUGUGAGGAAGGUGGGGAUGACGUCAAAUCAGCACGGCCCUUACGUCCGGGGCGACACACGUGUUACAAUGGGUGGUACAAAGGGCAGCUACCUGGCGACAGGAUGCUAAUCUCCAAAACCACUCUCAGUUCGGAUCGGAGUCUGCAACUCGACUCCGUGAAGCUGGAUUCGCUAGUAAUCGCGCAUCAGCCAUGGCGCGGUGAAUACGUUCCCGGGCCUU